This 947-nucleotide non-coding RNA is filed under the name Macaca fascicularis (crab-eating macaque). RNAcentral's name for it is "12S ribosomal RNA". It matches the Rfam family "Bacterial small subunit ribosomal RNA". Lineage: Eukaryota; Metazoa; Chordata; Mammalia; Primates; Cercopithecidae. The record is from RNAcentral.
AAUAGGCUUGGUCCUGGCCUUUCUAUUAGCUCUUAGCAGGAUUACACAUGCAAGCAUCCCCGCUCCAGUGAAGACGCCCUACAAACCAUCAUGACCAAGAGGAGCAAGCAUCAAGCACGCACACGCAGCUCAAAACGCUUUGCCUAGCCACACCCCCACGGGAGACAGCAGUGACAAAUAUUUAGCAAUAAACGAAAGUUCAACUAAGCCAUGCUAUAUUUAGGGUUGGUCAAUUUCGUGCCAGCCACCGCGGUUACACGAUUAACCCCAGCUAAUAGGGAUCGGCGUAAAGGGUGUUUAAGAUCUAACAUAAUAAAGCUAAACUCCACCUAAACUGUAAAACCCUAGCUAAUGUAAAAUAAACUACGAAAGUGGCUUUAAAGCUUCUGAACACACAAUAGCCAAGACCCAAACUGGGAUUAGACACCCCACUAUGCUUGGCCCUAAACCUCAGUAAUUAGAUAACAAAACUACUCGCCAGAAUACUACAAGCAACAGCUUGAAACUCAAAGGACUUGACGGUGCUUUACAUCCCCCUAGAGGAGCCUGUUCCAUAAUCGAUAAACCCCGAUCCACCCUACCCUCUCUUGCUCAGCCUAUAUACCGCCAUCUUCAGCAAACCCUAAUGAAGGCCACAAAGUGAGCGCAAACGCCGCCACCGCGAAUACGUUAGGUCAAGGUGUAGCCCAUGAGACGGUAAAAAAUGGGCUACAUUUUCUGUUUCAGAAAACCCACGAAAACCCUUAUGAAACUUAAGGGUCCAAGGAGGAUUUAGCAGUAAAUUAAGAAUAGAGUGCUUAAUUGAACCAGGCCAUAAAGCGCGCACACACCGCCCGUCACUCCUCUCAAAUAUAUUUAAGGAAUACCCUAACUAAACGCCCUAAUAUUUAUAUAGAGAGGAUAAGUCGUAACAUGGUAAGCGUACUGGAAGGUGCGCUUGGAUAAAU